GGGAGGCAGCAGUGGGGAAUAUUGCACAAUGGGCGGAAGCCUGAUGCAGCAACGCCGCGUGCGGGAUGACGGCCUUCGGGUUGUAAACCGCUUUCGCCUGUGACGAAGCGUGAGUGACGGUAAUGGGUAAAGAAGCACCGGCUAACUACGUGCCAGCAGCCGCGGUGAUACGUAGGGUGCGAGCGUUGUCCGGAUUUAUUGGGCGUAAAGGGCUCGUAGGUGGUUGAUCGCGUCGGAAGUGUAAUCUUGGGGCUUAACCCUGAGCGUGCUUUCGAUACGGGUUGACUUGAGGAAGGUAGGGGAGAAUGGAAUUCCUGGUGGAGCGGUGGAAUGCGCAGAUAUCAGGAGGAACACCAGUGGCGAAGGCGGUUCUCUGGGCCUUUCCUGACGCUGAGGAGCGAAAGCGUGGGGAGCGAACAGGCUUAGAUACCCUGGUAGUCCACGCUGUAAACGGUGGGUACUAGGUGUGGGGUCCAUUCCACGGGUUCCGCGCCGUAGCUAACGCUUUAAGUACCCCGCCUGGGGAGUACGGCCGCAAGGCUAAAACUCAAAGGAAUUGACGGGGCCCCGCACAAGCGGCGGAGCAUGCGGAUUAAUUCGAUGCAACGCGUAGAACCUUACCUGGGUUUGACAUGGAUCGGGAGUGCUCAGAGAUGGGUGUGCCUCUUUUGGGGUCGGUUCACAGGUGGUGCAUGGCUGUCGUCAGCUCGUG
RNAcentral lists this ribosomal RNA (712 nucleotides) under Exanthemachrysis gayraliae. RNAcentral's name for it is "partial Bacterial small subunit ribosomal RNA". It matches the Rfam family "Bacterial small subunit ribosomal RNA", at positions 343 to 1064 of the family's 1533-position model. Lineage: Eukaryota; Haptophyta; Pavlovophyceae; Pavlovales; Pavlovaceae. The record is from RNAcentral.